This 612-nucleotide ribosomal RNA is filed under the name Bacillus pumilus. Its description in RNAcentral is "bacterial SSU rRNA". It matches the Rfam family "Bacterial small subunit ribosomal RNA", at positions 37 to 639 of the family's 1533-position model. Lineage: Bacteria; Bacillati; Bacillota; Bacilli; Caryophanales; Bacillaceae. The record is from RNAcentral.
UGGCGGCGUGCCUAUUACAUGCAAGUCGAGCGGACAGAAGGGAGCUUGCUCCCGGAUGUUAGCGGCGGACGGGUGAGUAACACGUGGGUAACCUGCCUGUAAGACUGGGAUAACUCCGGGAAACCGGAGCUAAUACCGGAUAGUUCCUUGAACCGCAUGGUUCAAGGAUGAAAGACGGUUUCGGCUGUCACUUACAGAUGGACCCGCGGCGCAUUAGCUAGUUGGUGGGGUAAUGGCUCACCAAGGCGACGAUGCGUAGCCGACCUGAGAGGGUGAUCGGCCACACUGGGACUGAGACACGGCCCAGACUCCUACGGGAGGCAGCAGUAGGGAAUCUUCCGCAAUGGACGAAAGUCUGACGGAGCAACGCCGCGUGAGUGAUGAAGGUUUUCGGAUCGUAAAGCUCUGUUGUUAGGGAAGAACAAGUGCGAGAGUAACUGCUCGCACCUUGACGGUACCUAACCAGAAAGCCACGGCUAACUACGUGCCAGCAGCCGCGGUAAUACGUAUGUGGCAGCGUUGUCAAAAAUUAUUGGGCGUAAAGGGGUCGGAGGCGGUUUCUUAAUUCUGAUGGAAACCCCCCGGCUCACCGGGGAGGGUUUGGAAUUGGAA